GUACUCGCUUUGGCGGUACAUAUACUAAAUUCGGAACGAUACAUAGAAGAUUAGCAUGACCCCUGCACAAGUGUGACACUCAUAAUCGUGAAGCAUUUCAUAUUUUU
RNAcentral lists this small nuclear RNA (107 nucleotides) under Trichobilharzia regenti. The record is from RNAcentral. Lineage: Eukaryota; Metazoa; Platyhelminthes; Trematoda; Strigeidida; Schistosomatidae.